CCCCUCAAGCCCCUGGCUUGGUGUUGGACGGUUUGGUGGAGGCCCCCUCGGGGGCUCCUGCCCCUCCCAAAGACAAUGACGGCGGCCUCGUUGGACCCCCGGUACACUGAGUUCUUCACGGGACACGUAUCGGACACAUGGGUUUACGGGACACGGUCUGCCUCCCCUCAGGGAGAAUCUUUCUAAGGUUGACCUCGGAUCAGGUAGGGAUACCCGCUGAACUUAAGCAUAUCAAUAAGCGGAGGAAAAGAAACCAACAGGGAUUGCCUCAGUAACGGCGAGUGAAGCGGCAACAGCUCAAAUUUGAAAUCUGGCCUCUUUGGGGUCCGAGUUGUAAUUUGUAGAGGAUGUUUCGGGUACCGCCUCGGUUUAAAUUUCUUGGAACAGAAUGUCAAAGAGGGUGAGAAUCCCGUCUUGGACCGGCGGUAGGGCCCAUGUGAAACUCCUUCGACGAGUCGAGUUGUUUGGGAAUGCAGCUCAAAAUGGGUGGUAAAUUUCAUCUAAAGCUAAAUAUUGGCCAGAGACCGAUAGCGCACAAGUAGAGUGAUCGAAAGAUGAAAAGCACUUUGAAAAGAGAGUUAAACAGUAUGUGAAAUUGUUGAAAGGGAAGCGCUUACAACCAGACUUGCGCGCGGCGGUUCCCCCUUCCUUUUGGUUGGGCUACUCCGUCGUGUCCAGGCCAACAUCGGUUCUGGGGGUCGGUUAAAGACCCUGGGAAUGUACC
Molecule: ribosomal RNA, 724 nt
Filed under: uncultured Exophiala
Lineage: Eukaryota; Fungi; Ascomycota; Eurotiomycetes; Chaetothyriales; Herpotrichiellaceae
Description: eukaryotic LSU rRNA
Rfam family: Eukaryotic large subunit ribosomal RNA (bases 190-724)
Source: RNAcentral